This 239-nucleotide long non-coding RNA is filed under the name Mytilus galloprovincialis (Mediterranean mussel). Lineage: Eukaryota; Metazoa; Mollusca; Bivalvia; Mytilida; Mytilidae. The record is from RNAcentral.
GUCGCUUUGACCCAUUCCCCAUUUCCCUUCUCAAUUUUAUUGUAGGUCAUUAAAUACUUGAUGUGGAAAUAUUUUAAAUCAUGCAAAAGUGUGGUGCCGUGCUUUUUACCUUUCAUGAAGUUAUAAGUUGCUUCAUGCUGCUAGAUCUCCCUGGUAUCUUCUUAGUUUUGUAUACAAAUCUUCAAAACACAUCUCAACGUCUUGAAACUAACGUAAACAACGUUUGGGCGGAAGCUGAC